RNAcentral lists this ribosomal RNA (265 nucleotides) under uncultured bacterium. Its description in RNAcentral is "partial 16S ribosomal RNA". It matches the Rfam family "Bacterial small subunit ribosomal RNA", at positions 88 to 354 of the family's 1533-position model. The record is from RNAcentral.
CCGGCGACCGGCGCACGGGUGAGUAACACGUAUGCAACCUGCCCUCUUCAGGGGGACAACCUUCCGAAAGGGAGGCUAAUCCCGCGUAUAUCGGUUUCGGGCAUCCGAGAUCGAGGAAAGAUUCAUCGGAAGAGGAUGGGCAUGCGGUGCAUUAGCUAGACGGCGGGGUAACGGCCCACCGUGGCGACGAUGCGUAGGGGUUCUGAGAGGAAGGUCCCCCACACUGGUACUGAGACACGGACCAGACUCCUACGGAAGGCAGCAG